Molecule: long non-coding RNA, 1403 nt
Filed under: Malus domestica (apple)
Lineage: Eukaryota; Viridiplantae; Streptophyta; Magnoliopsida; Rosales; Rosaceae
Description: long non-coding RNA (MDOM_LNC002336)
Source: RNAcentral
CUCCCUCCUCUCCUCACUUCAAAUCUCUCUCUUUUCUUCUUUUUCUCUCCUCUUCACGUGGGCAAGAGGGUAAUGUACCUUGGUAGAGACAACUGGUUAAGUUCGUGCUCCGAAGUGGAUCAAUCUGUCUGGAGUGCAGAUUGGUUGUUUCGAUCACACCGGGAACCACCUGAUUAGAUCAAUCCCCCGUGGGGAAGGACUUGACCUUCUAUUCACACCAGGUCUAGCCCCCAGGGAGUGAGUGUACACUAUUAUUACUCCGGAGAGGUGGUGUUUUAGGCCUUACAAUUGCCCAUAACUAUUUCUCUUGAGUAUCCUCGAUGUGAAAGUUAUCCGUGUUCAAGCUACCUCUCCCGCAGCGAUGCUCUAGUUUUAAUCCAUGUCGAGCUCUUUUAGAGACUUUGUCUCAUUUACAAUGCCCCAAGCAUACAGAGAAAUUUGUGGGCGGAGCGAGGCAUUUUUCUUGGAGCGAACUUUUUAAACGGGGUCUUGCCCCUGAAUACUUAGGGGGUGUAUUCAAUUGGGAUUUUAAAGGAUUUUAAUUCUUUUAAUGAAUCUAUGGGUAUUCAAUUGAGAUUUUAAAUAAUUCUCUGAAAUUCUAGGUGUAUUCAAUUAGAAUUUUAAGAUAGUUUAUUAAAAUCCUUAGAAAUCCAGGUGUAUUCAAUUAAAAUUUUAAAGAAGUUUAUAAUAUUCCAGGUGUAUUCAAUUAGAAAUUGAUUUUAAAGAAUUUGAGAAAGUUGAGGAAUUAGAGGGAAUUAGAGAGAUUUCGUAGUGUAUUUUAAGUAUCCACAAAUCUCACCUCUUCCCAUGAGAUUUCGAGGGAAUUGAAUCAAAAUUUAUAUAGAAUCUCUACAAAUCAAUUAAACUCCAUAAAAAUCCAUGGAUUUAUAAAUCCAUUAAAAUCUCUCACAUUCUCAAUUGAAUACACCCCCUUAAUGUUGGCUUGAAAUAUUUUAGUCGAAAGCAGCAGAUCAUGUAAUCCAAUGUACCCCCGCAUUGUAGAAUUUUCAAUAUUUUCUUCUUAUAAUAAAUUUGUCGGUUUUUCAUCCAAACUUGCAUGUCUAACCAAAUUUUCACAUUACUCUAUUCCUACAAAUUCCACAUAUUUCCUACAAGGAUUGUUGUGAAACCAAUAUGAAAUUAUAAAUAAGAACGUAAAUGGAUAAUUUAUAUACGAGGAUUAAUUUUUCAUAACUCUGAAUUAGUGUCAACCCUCUCCUUUCCCUCAAAUUAAUUAAUACCAAGAUUAUAUCCUAAUUACAAUUGAAACUUGAAGGAAAAUAGUGUAGUUGGCUUGGGAGAAAAGAAAUAGAGACUCGAGUUGAAAGGAAAUUAUUAAAUCCUAAUUACAUUUCACUAACACAUGUUCCAAAAGAGGAAAGUUUGCUUACGUACUUAAAGGG